This 467-nucleotide ribosomal RNA is filed under the name uncultured bacterium. RNAcentral describes it as "partial 16S ribosomal RNA". It matches the Rfam family "Bacterial small subunit ribosomal RNA", at positions 28 to 507 of the family's 1533-position model. The record is from RNAcentral.
GACGAACGCUGGCGGCGUGCUUAACACAUGCAAGUCGAACGGAAAGGCCUCUUUCGGGGGGUACUCGAGUGGCGAACGGGUGAGUAACACGUGAGUAACCUGCCCUUGACUUUGGGAUAACUUCAGGAAACUGGGGCUAAUACCGGAUAGGAGCUCCUGCUGCAUGGUGGGGGUUGGAAAGUUUCGGCGGUUGGGGAUGGACUCGCGGCUUAUCAGCUUGUUGGUGGGGUAGUGGCUUACCAAGGCUUUGACGGGUAGCCGGCCUGAGGGGGUGACCGGCCACAUUGGGACUGAGAUACGGCCCAGACUCCUACGGGAGGCAGCAGGGGGGAAUAUUGCACAAUGGGUGGAAGCCUGAUGCAGCAACGCCGUGUGCGGGAUGACGGCCUUCGGGUUGUAAACCGCUUUCGCUCAUGACGAAGCUUUGUGUGACGGUAGUGGGUAAAGAAGCACCGGCUAACUACGUG